UAAUACAUGCAAGUCGAGCGAACAGACGAGGAGCUUGCUCCUCUGACGUUAGCGGCGGACGGGUGAGUAACACGUGGAUAACCUACCUAUAAGACUGGGAUAACUUCGGGAAACCGGAGCUAAUACCGGAUAACAUGUUGAACCGCAUGGUUCAACAGUGAAAGACGGUCUUGCUGUCACUUAUAGAUGGAUCCGCGCCGCAUUAGCUAGUUGGUAAGGUAACGGCUUACCAAGGCAACGAUGCGUAGCCGACCUAAGAGGGUGAUCGGCCACACUGGAACUGAGACACGGUCCAGACUCCUACGGGAGGCAGCAGUAGGGAAUCUUCCGCAAUGGGCGAAAGCCUGACGGAGCAACGCCGCGUGAGUGAAGAAGGUCUUCGGAUCGUAAAACUCUGUUAUUAGGGAAGAACAAAUGUGUAAGUAACUAUGCACGUCUUGACGGUACCUAAUCAGAAAGCCACGGCUAACUACGUGCCAGCAGCCGCGGUAAUACGUAGGUGGCAAGCGUUAUCCGGAAUUAUUGGGCGUAAAGCGCGCGUAGGCGGUUUUUUAAGUCUGAUGUGAAAGCCCACGGCUCAACCGUGGAGGGUCAUUGGAAACUGGAAAACUUGAGUGCAGAAGAGGAAAGUGGAAUUCCAUGUGUAGCGGUGAAAUGCGCAGAGAUAUGGAGGAACACCAGUGGCGAAGGCGACUUUCUGGUCUGUAACUGACGCUGAUGUGCGAAAGCGUGGGGAUCAAACAGGAUUAGAUACCCUGGUAGUCCACGCCGUAAACGAUG
This 780-nucleotide ribosomal RNA is filed under the name Listeria monocytogenes. RNAcentral describes it as "bacterial SSU rRNA". It matches the Rfam family "Bacterial small subunit ribosomal RNA", at positions 49 to 811 of the family's 1533-position model. The record is from RNAcentral. Lineage: Bacteria; Bacillati; Bacillota; Bacilli; Caryophanales; Listeriaceae.